AGUAAUGUCUGGGAAACUGCCUGAUGGAGGGGGAUAACUACUGGAAACGGUAGCUAAUACCGCAUAAUGUCGCAAGACCAAAGUGGGGGACCUUCGGGCCUCAUGCCAUCAGAUGUGCCCAGAUGGGAUUAGCUAGUAGGUGGGGUAACGGCUCACCUAGGCGACGAUCCCUAGCUGGUCUGAGAGGAUGACCAGCCACACUGGAACUGAGACACGGUCCAG
RNAcentral lists this ribosomal RNA (222 nucleotides) under uncultured bacterium. Its description in RNAcentral is "partial 16S ribosomal RNA". It matches the Rfam family "Bacterial small subunit ribosomal RNA", at positions 109 to 334 of the family's 1533-position model. The record is from RNAcentral.